UGGACUCCUAGAAAAAUCAAAAAGAAACAAGGAAAACAAACAGCAAAUACAGCAACAAACAGAAAAAAAUAACAACCACCAAAAUCGUUUGCCCGUUUGCCAUGCCAGGGGUGAUCUGGGCAUCUGUUGCAGCAGAAGGCGCUUGUGUGGGGCUAUUUUUUUUUUUUUUGGGGCAAGCUGUUGGCUUGUUUGCUAUUCAACUUCGUUUAUAAUUAACUUAAAAAAAAACAACAAUACGAUUCAGCCUAGUCAACAACAAACAAAGAGAAAAAGCAGACAUCGGAAGAGAAAUGCCAUAGAAAGCGGCAUGAAUGCAUGCCACAGCCGGUGCCACUUGCCAUUCGGGAAACCUCAGGGAAAGAAGCCAAUCUUACAGCUCUGAAGAUGCAGAGAAGGGAGCAUAAAGGUCUACAAAUAGAAAUCAUGAGGAAAGAAUACCACUUUUAACAUCUUGGAUUGCAAUUGCACACAGCCUCUGCUGGGAGAAGAGAGGGGUUAUUUAAAUGGAGAUAUAGAUGGGUAUAAAUGAAAAGAUAGGCACUUAUCAAUUGCAUAUAGACACAAAUGUAAGCUGUAUGUGUAUAUAAAUACACAUAUUUGCAGAUGAAUUAAACGCUUAGAUAUGUAUAUAUUUUUGUGUUAUAGGUAUGGAUAUGUACAUAGGUGUGUAUGUUUAUGCAUAUACAUACUAUGGGGGAUGUAUGCAUGUGUGAGAAAAAGGUGAGGAAGGCAGAGGAGAGAGAAGGAAUGGUGUGUAUGUGCAUGUAUGUGUGUGCAUACAUCCCACUUUUUGACCCAGGUAUACACAGAAGACAAAAUAAAAAUCAUACUCCAGCAGCAAGCAGGCAGCCAGAGAUUUAUCUACAUUCACUGCUAUCACCAGGGAGAUGAAUGGGGCCGAUCUGAAGCCCUUUUACAAGAUCCACUAUGGGAGUGAAGGAGGAGGAGGGAUGCCACACAGACAUGCACAAACUUGAAGGCAGAGGGAUUUGGAAGGGCUACUGAGGAAACCCUGGUGGCAUAAUGAAGGGGAGAAGAAGGGGAAAGAGGCUUGUCUCUAUGUUUUAGGUGGUUGUUUAAAAAAAAAAAAAUCUGCAAAAGGGUUUCAGGGAACGGCUGGUACUUACGUUGUCUGCGUUGCUGUGAAUCCUGAAAGGUGUUCUGUUGGCACUGGGCGCUGAGCCAGGGGCAGGCGUUGGAAACAAAAGGGAGAGAAAAAAAAAAUAAAGUCAUUCAAUGGGAAUAUUAAUUGCUGCUCGUGUGGAUCUUACAAAACACACAAACUGUUUUCUUUUUCUUUCUCUCUCUCUCUCUUUUUUUUUUUUUAAAUGUGGAUUGGCGCGUGUCCCUUUCGCAUGGAAUAUACAAGUAGUAUGGGAUUUACAGCCCAGUUACGGGACUCAGGAUUAACCGCACUGGCAUCUUUUGGGCAUAUUCGUCCUUUUAAUGAAUGAGCUUUCGCUGUUAAUGAGGAAUAAUCGUUUGGCUAAUGAGCUUUGAAACAUUAAGAGAAAAAGAGUUUUUUUUUUUUUUUUUUUUUUUUCCUUCCCCGUUAAUCGCUCUGGUGCGACUGCAUGGAUGGAUUACAAAAGACAGCAAUAGGAAUUCAGUACAAAGGGGGGGAAACCUCUCCUGGAGUGGGAGAAGCACCGAGAUGGGUGAUGUGUCCCUGCGUCUUUCCUUCCUUCUCUCUCCCUUUCACUCUGCCAACUGCUAUGGGUUUCCAUAACUCUGCAAUCAAAGUGGAUGGUCGGGAAGGAUUAUUACAAAGAGUGAAGCCUCCGCUGUUAAUGUCUCCAGUGUUUAAUCAUCAUACAGUAGAAUGGUUUUAUGCAUAUUUCAUUUGCAUAUCAUUAAACUGUGUUAGCGAGGGGCAUUCAGAGCCAGGAGAAGUACAAAGUUGGGGAGAGAGGGAAGAAAAAAAGGUCCCUAUGAUGCUUAUCUUCAAACAGGGACUUGUUCCAUGAUCUGUCUUCUACUUUUGCUAAAAUCAUUAUGACUUGGAAACCUUUGAAGUUGGAUACAACCUUGGAUUCUUCUAAUUCCUGCAGAGCGGUAUAUUUUAAAAAACAGCAGAAAUGUUCCUGCACUAGACAAUUAAAGGAAUAUAAACUCCAGUGGGUUGAAACUAGUAGCUCUUUGGGGAAUGCAGUGGCAGAGGCUUCUACAAAUACCAACACUUAAAAAAAUAAUAAAGAGCAUCACAUUAAAAACAAAGAAAACGAAGACAAGAAAUAUUAACGUGGAUUAUAUUUCUUUUGGGGGGUAAUGAACUAAAGAGAAUGAAGAAGCCAUCGGUAAUUUAUCCCAUCAUUAAUGAACAGUCACCUUUUUGUAUGUGUUUUUGUUCUUUCAUUUUGAAGAGGGAUGUUGACACUUUUGAAGCAAUUAGUCAAUUAUUUUGAAACUCUGAUCCUUUCCCCAUACACCCGACAGGAAAGCAAGGUGGUGGUUAGGGAAUAUGUGAGUAUUGGGGGGAUUUGGGGGGAGAGGAGGAAUACAUUGAGUUCUUUGUAGAUCUUAAACAUGCACAACAUAUUAAUUGGGGGCUUUUAAAGCUGCCUCAAUAGGCUAUUUCAUUCCUGGUAAAAGCAGCUGGUUAGCCACUGUUGGUGACUCUUCAAAUAUCACUUUAACUAUUUUUAUUCUAUCACUGUUAUUGUCUUGUUUUGUUUUUCUUCAGUCAAGAAUGAGAAUAUGCUACUCCUUCUUUAUUGCGUAUCUUUUCUCCUCCAUCUUCUUCACUUCCAAUUUCCAAAUUGUAAAACAAUGUUGGUUUAAUAUUGAAUCCUGGUGCACAGUCUAACUGGCACAACUUGAUUUGGAAAUGAGAUGCUGUUUUAUAUUUAAAUUAUCCCUGCUCCUCCCUUAUUCUCCAAAGCUUUGUCUCUGCUAUGAAUAUUCAGAUGAGGCAUGAUGUGAUUACACUGUACAAUUACUCCUAUCCAUGGUGGUGGCAGGGGCUGCUAGGGAGACAGAGCUAGACAGCCUCCAAGCUAAUACAGAGUUUUGUUUUCGGGAUUUUUCCUAUCUCCUUGGCACUGUGGUACAUGCAGAUGUCGCUGUUGUUCUUUAUAAAGCCCUAAUGAUAUGCAAAAGCAUAACGACUUGGUUUGGACGCAAAGCAUCAACGAAAUAUUAUGGAUGUCUUUAAGAAAGGGGGAGAGAAAAUCCUGACUGAAGGAAUGUCCACAUAAAUUAUUUUUAUUUAAAUGAAUUCAAAGGAUGGGGUGAGGGCAAGUCAGGAGGAGUCACAUGGAAAACAUGCAUAAUAUUAGUAUGCAUAAAGAAUUCUCACCCAGGAGAAGCUCCUCACUACAGCUCAUGGGACAAACAGGUUCAUUAGGAAAUAGCUCAGAGCGACUACAGCAUUUUGCUAUUUCAAUUUUUUCCUUAUUUUAAAUGAAGAGUCAGACAGAUGUGUUUUCUUUGCAUGGCAGCAUUGAGAUGGAUCCAAUCUGUGAAAUUUCCUGCCCAAAUAGCAUUUCUAAUGGAAACUGCAACUAAACAAGGGCACGGAUAUGGAAGGGAGGGGAGAAGAGAGAACAUAUGAAGAGGAGUAUAUUCAGAGCCACUGCAUGGCAUUUUGUGUAGUACAGGAGGUUUUCAGAAACCACCUUUGCUUCAUUAAUCCUAGAUAUGGGCUCCUGAUGCAGAGAGCUAUCAGGGUUUACCAAGAUGGGCACUGAGACAGGCCCUUCUAGGUCUGGGGCUGAGGAAAGCCGCGGCAGUGUGCCUGUCCCCAACCCACCCCCCAGCUGUCUACAGCUCAGAAGCCAAAAGCACAGCUACUCCUAAUUUGGGGAUGCAGUAGAGUGCCUCCUGGUCCAGCUUCUACAUCCUGGAGAACCACCCUGGGACUGUUCUACCAGCAGUGAUCAAAGAAAAUGAGAACAUUAGAACACUGACAUUUUAAUCUGUUCUGUACAAGAGUGAGUUGUGUCAACACAGUGCUCCCAGCUACAACACUGAAAAAAACAAGUUUAAUUAAAGACAGAGAAGAAACCGUAUGUGGAGCCUAAGCCAUUGAGAUACAAGGAAGAGUUGUCAUCUUCAGAGUGAGUUCUCUAAGAACAAAUCUCUGUCAGUGUCAAAAGGAAAAAAGAGAGAGAGACAAAGCAAAGCCAAAGUGUGAUUCUAUAAAGGAAAAACCUGGUGGUGUCAAAUGUCAACGUUCAGACUAAGAACUAAAAACACUGUUUCCAUUACACUGUUUACUUUCAGAGUCCAGACCAGACCCUACUCCUAGCAUCAUAAAACAUCUCUGGAUGUACAUAGAUACCUAUUAACCAUAGACACAUUGAACUACAAAAGGAGAAAAAGACUCAUGUCACAAUAAUGAUUUAGCAACAGUGAAUACUGCUUUUACUGGGUUUAUCCCAGAAUAUUGGCUAUUCUCUUUUCUCAGACUCUAAUUUGAAGGGCAAAUCAGCAUUACCACAAUGCUAUCUGCUAAAAUUAUGCACAAAUCUAACUACAUUUUUGCAAUACAUAGCUUGCUGCCUAUCCCCCCUGCCUUUCUGCCAGGGCACUCAAUUAUCAGAGAGGCCCUACAGGACAAUGAAAACAAAACAAGGCAAAAAUGACCCGGCUUUAGCUUUGGCCUUGCCAAUUUCCUAGCUUAGUAAGUCUUGGGUAAGUCACGUAAUAUAUUUGUGAUUACUUUCUCUUAUCUAUAAAAUAGGGAUAAUGCUACUUACUCAAGAGCCUUAUUGUAAGGCUUCAAUGAGAUAACAUAUGUAAAGUAUCAGGUUCAUUUGUUUAGCUCACAUAACACACACUACACAAAUAGUAUUCUUUCUGUAUUUAUUUAUGGAACAGAGUUCCCGGUAUACUACCUGGCUGUCCCUAAACUCACAAUCCUCCUGCUUCAGUCUCCCAAGUAGCUGAAAUUACAUGCAUGCACAACCAUGCCUGGCUUCUUAUUAACUUUUGAUUUUUAAGAUACUGGUCACUUGUCGAUUGUAUAUUAUCAUACCUUUGACUACAUCCUACAUUCCUUAGGACUAAAACUUCUUUCAAUCCUAUAUAAUAUAUCUCACUUCAGAAGGAAUAUUAGCAUUUACUGGUUUGUUCAUCCAUAUAUAACUGUGUUUUUCACAGCACAGUGUAACAGAAUGGCUGUCAGCAUGCUGAGCUCACUGUCAAAACCACCUGAAUUAACUGAUAAUAUUUCAAUCAGGCCACUCUUAAUCACUACACAACUUUUAGCAAGCUACUUUAGUAUGCCUCAGUUUCUUCAUUUGUAAAAUGUAGAUAAAACACUAUUAUUACAGAGCUGUUCUGAAGAUCAACUAUAUCAAAUAUAUGUAAAGCUAUUAGAAUGAAUGUGAACUAAGUAUGAGCCCUUAGAAAACAUUUGCUUAUGACUUGACAAUGUAUCUGCCUGAUGAAUAUUAGUCUAUAAUUGCUGUAUAGCAUUAGAUAUUUCUCUGAAUUUGUAUGUUAUAAAUUUGUAGGAAGAUGAAACAGGGUAAAUAUUUUGGUCAAUAGUUACAAAUAUGAUAGGAAUAAUAGAAAGAUGUAUAAAGAAAAACUUGACAAAUAUAAAACUAACUGAAUUAGAAUAUAAAGAAUCCAAUCUGUAUAAUUUUUAUGUUUGUAUAUGUCAGUUAAAAAAGAAAUCCAGGCUUUACAGAGGGGAAGAAACAGAACAAGCUUAUGUUGUCAUGAAAUUGAAACAAAAUACAUAAAAAUGCCAUAUUUUAACUGUAUUAGGGAAAGCAUCAUGGAGAAGACAGCAUGAAGAUUCAGACAGAUGAUGAGAAAACAAAUGUUAUUCAAAACAAUAGAAAUAAGAAGAGGUAUGAAAGGAUUACAAAGAGCCCAUGUGAAAGCCAGUACCCAGAUCUGUCUGCCUGGAGACAGGUUCUUGUAAGAGAAUAGUUCCUCUAAGAGAAUUUCUUUCCUUGGAGUUUAGAAAGCACACAAUAUGUACUCAUUAAGAUCUAAAAGAUAGGAUAAAUUCUAAUCAAAAACAUUUUCAAAUUCUACAUUAAGUAGAGCUUUCCAAUGGGUAUGCCAAGGCAUAUCGGUGUGCCUAAAUUAAGUGACCAAUGUACUAAGAAUUGUGAGCCUCUCAGCCCUUGGGGUAUAAAUCCUCUAGCUAUAGAUGGCUGGCCUACUCCCUCUGUGUGCCAUUCAAACAUAAUUUUCUAAACAUAAAAUGCCAUAAAAAGUUGUGAAACAAUGGGUUAAAUAAUAUGGCUAUUAUGCAAUGAGACAAAGAAAACUAAGUGGGAGAGAAAAUGAUAUACAAUGUCUUUGCCUAAUCUGGUGGCAUUGUGGAAGAUCAAAGAGAGGAAAGACAAGUGGCAAAAGAGUAGUUAAGUAAGUGCUGUAAGGCAACAAUAAAUGUUGGCAAGGAUGUGAGGGUAAAGGUACAUUCAUACAUUGCUGGUAGAACUGCAAACUGGUGCAACCACUAUGGAAAGCA
Molecule: non-coding RNA, 6436 nt
Organism: Ictidomys tridecemlineatus (thirteen-lined ground squirrel)
Lineage: Eukaryota; Metazoa; Chordata; Mammalia; Rodentia; Sciuridae
Source: RefSeq, a predicted model, not a curated record